Molecule: ribosomal RNA, 200 nt
Filed under: Escherichia coli
Lineage: Bacteria; Pseudomonadati; Pseudomonadota; Gammaproteobacteria; Enterobacterales; Enterobacteriaceae
Description: partial 16S ribosomal RNA
Rfam family: Bacterial small subunit ribosomal RNA
Source: RNAcentral
AAAUUGAAGAGUUUGAUCAUGGCUCAGAUUGAACGCUGGCGGCAGGCCUAACACAUGCAAGUCGAACGGUAACAGAAAGCAGCUUGCUGCUUUGCUGACGAGUGGCGGACGGGUGAGUAAUGUCUGGGAAACUGCCCGAUGGAGGGGGAUAACUACUGGAAACGGUAGCUAAUACCGCAUAACGUCGCAAGACCAAAGAG